Long non-coding RNA from Equus asinus (donkey), 2072 nucleotides. NCBI's taxonomy places the organism in Eukaryota, Metazoa, Chordata, Mammalia, Perissodactyla, Equidae. The record is from Ensembl.
CAGCCUCCCCGUCUGUCCUCGGCUCCUGGAGCGCACCAGCCUUGCACGGCCUGCCGGACGGCGCGCCUGGGACGGCCUCUCCAGUCUCCUCCUCGCCCCUGCUCCGCGGCCUGAGCCCUCGUCUGCUACAUCAACUCCUCCUCCAGGUUCAGACAUCUGCCCCUUUUGGGAUGUUCUUCCUGACCUCCCGCCCCAGUUCCCUGCCGCACGUUCCCAAGUCGCCCCCGUCACCGUUCAUCCGAAACGUCUUCCUGGCUGGAGCAAAACGCCCAUGGGGCCAGCGCUACGCUCUGAUCGGCCGCACGAGUCCCCCAGUCUAGGGCCCAGUUCCCCGAGGGCCCCCGACGAAGACCUGCGAACCUCCCCCCGCGCCCCCAGAACACCUCCGCAGAGCCGACCCCGAGGGCACGGGCCUGCGCACGCGCACACGCGCUCUGACGCCGCGAAAACGACUUCAAACGUCCGUUCACGGAACCCAAAUCCACACUAGACUUCAGAUGUCUCUAAGACACGCUAAUUCUUCCCAAAAUGACAAGGGAACAGAGCUCACGUCACCUCUUUCUGAGGCCCGCCCGUCUGGAAGCUUCAGGGUGACGCACAGGCCGGGCUGAGGCGGGCGCCGGCGGGGAAGAACGAGGGGGCUGCGGCAGCGCCAGAGGCCGCUCCUCCUCAGACGCCCUCACCGCGCAGCGACGCAAGACUGCCGCCCGCGGCCCGAGCGAAAGCCACACAGUGAAGCGCUUUCGGGUGAAAGAAGGAAGGAAGGACCCCCGGCCCCCACGGGCCAGCCCGCGCCGCAGACCCGCAGGAGACGCACCUCACACCGCACCGCCCGAACGCCCGCCACGGGCCGCAGCCGCCCAGCACUUCCGCUUCCGGAAGCGGAAGUGGCCUGGGCUCAGGCUUUCGGGGCCCGAGGCGGCUCCGGCGGCGGCGGCGGCGGCGGCGAGGUGGAGCCGUUCUGGGUCCAGCCUCCGAGGAGAAAUUCUAGUUUCCUUAACCGAGGGAGACGGGCGGAUUGGGAUCCAAGUGAUGGGGCAUCUGCUUGGUGGAGCCUAGACCCGUGCGACAUGGGAGCCAAGGAAAGACAGGAUCUGACUUCUACAGUGAGAAUCACGGGAAGUGAGGCGAUGAGCUGGGCGGUCAAAAAAGAAGGACAGAUAUUCCCCACAGUCGAUCUGGUCUGCCAUCCUCCUCUCUGCUUGUACGCAGAUGAGGAUAAAUGGAAGUCUCAGUAUGAAUCCUGCCUGUGUCUAGGAGAAAUGAUCCCCAAGCCGAACAGUCAUCUUUUCGUGGGGACCAGGCACAGUUCCUGCUCAUCCCGAAGCAGCAGGCUCCAGUGCCCUGGCAGCCUGCAGAGUUGCUCAAGCCGAUCACAUCCUCCCAUGGGAACCAGGAGGCACCUCACCCUCUUUUCCAGGCAGCGCCCGCUCUCCACCCGGUGCCUGAGUGCACCCGCACAGCCCUGCAUGGCUCGUGGUGUCCUCUUUCCCUGGGCUGUGAGGAAACGUGGCUGUCGGUACCAUCUGUCCAUUGUCGGGUGUCGUGUUCAACCAUCCCCAUAGCCCUCAGGCGUGAGCCCCUCCCUUACCGAAGAGAAGAGGAGGCGAUCCAUACAAGAGCGCAUAUAAAUCAUGAAUCUUUUUAAAGCACCAUUUGGCCAGAAUAAAUCAGAAUUGUUCAUGUGUUUACCCUUUGGCCCAGAUCCAGCAAAUUGCUCUAAGGAAAUAUUUGCACAGAAUCCCAGUGUUAACACGUGUGGAUGCUCACGCAGCAGCCUUUGUUUACGAGGUGAGGCGGGAAGCAGCCUAAGCGUCCGUCAGUAGGGGCCUCAUAAAUAAUUCCAUAUAGUGCGGUGUGGUGAAGUCAUUAAGGUUGAAGUAAUGUAUAUUUUACGAUAGCUGCUCAGACUCUGUCAGCACUGUGAGUUAAUUACACAGCAACAUCCUUAUUCUUCUCCCCUGAUGUUUGUCUGUUCCCAAGCUUGCUCUGCCCCAAUACCUGAUUUUGUUCCCUAAAACUAUGUCCAUGAAAAUGUAUUUUUUCCAUAAAUAAAUGAAAAGAAGAUCAAA